GAUGAACGCUGGCGGCGUGCCUAAUACAUGCAAGUCGAGCGAACAGACGAGGAGCUUGCUCCUCUGACGUUAGCGGCGGACGGGUGAGUAACACGUGGAUAACCUACCUAUAAGACUGGGAUAACUUCGGGAAACCGGAGCUAAUACCGGAUAAUAUAUUGAACCGCAUGGUUCAAUAGUGAAAGACGGCUUUGCUGUCACUUAUAGAUGGAUCCGCGCCGCAUUAGCUAGUUGGUAAGGUAACGGCUUACCAAGGCAACGAUGCGUAGCCGACCUGAGAGGGUGAUCGGCCACACUGGAACUGGGACACGGUCCAGACUCCUACGGGAGGCAGCAGUAGGGAAUCUUCCGCAAUGGGCGAAAGCUUGACGGAGCAACGCCGCGUGAGUGAUGAAGGUCUUCGGAUCGUAAAACUCUGUUAUUAGGGAAGAACAAAUGUGGAAGUAACUAUGCACGUCUUGACGGUACCUAAUCAGAAAGCCACGGCUAACUACGUG
This 497-nucleotide ribosomal RNA is filed under the name uncultured bacterium. RNAcentral describes it as "partial 16S ribosomal RNA". It matches the Rfam family "Bacterial small subunit ribosomal RNA", at positions 28 to 507 of the family's 1533-position model. The record is from RNAcentral.